AUUGAACGCUGGCGGCAUGCCUUACACAUGCAAGUCGAACGGCAGCACGGGCUUCGGUCUGGUGGCGAGUGGCGAACGGGUGAGUAAUAUAUCGGAACGUACCUUUCAGUGGGGGAUAACGUAGCGAAAGUUACGCUAAUACCGCAUAUUCUGUGAGCAGGAAAGCAGGGGAUCGCAAGACCUUGCGCUGAUUGAGCGGCCGAUAUCAGAUUAGCUAGUUGGUGAGGUAAAGGCUCACCAAGGCGACGAUCUGUAGCGGGUCUGAGAGGAUGAUCCGCCACACUGGAACUGAGACACGGUCCAGACUCCUACGGGAGGCAGCAGUGGGGAAUUUUGGACAAUGGGCGCAAGCCUGAUCCAGCCAUGCCGCGUGAGUGAAGAAGGCCUCGG
This 390-nucleotide ribosomal RNA is filed under the name uncultured bacterium. RNAcentral describes it as "bacterial SSU rRNA". It matches the Rfam family "Bacterial small subunit ribosomal RNA", at positions 30 to 420 of the family's 1533-position model. The record is from RNAcentral.